UGGGGAAUAUUGGACAAUGGGCGAAAGCCUGAUCCAGCCAUGCCGCGUGUGUGAAGAAGGUCUUCGGAUUGUAAAGCACUUUAAGUUGGGAGGAAGGGCAGUAAGCGAAUACCUUGCUGUUUUGACGUUACCGACAGAAUAAGCACCGGCUAACUCUGUGCCAGCAGCCGCGGUAAUACAGAGGGUGCAAGCGUUAAUCGGAAUUACUGGGCGUAAAGCGCGCGUAGGUGGUUCGUUAAGUUGAAUGUGAAAGCCCCGGGCUCAACCUGGGAACUGCAUCCAAAACUGGCGAGCUAGAGUAGCGCAGAGGGUGGUGGAAUUUCCUGUGUAGCGGUGAAAUGCGUAGAUAUAGGAAGGAACACCAGUGGCGAAGGCGACCACCUGGGCUCAUACUGACACUGAGGUGCGAAAGCGUGGGGAGCAAACAGG
RNAcentral lists this ribosomal RNA (429 nucleotides) under Pseudomonadota bacterium. RNAcentral describes it as "Proteobacteria bacterium partial 16S ribosomal RNA". It matches the Rfam family "Bacterial small subunit ribosomal RNA", at positions 355 to 776 of the family's 1533-position model. Lineage: Bacteria; Pseudomonadati; Pseudomonadota. The record is from RNAcentral.